GCAGGUCAGCAUACUGCCGUGAAUACGUUCCCGGGCCUUGUACACACCGCCCGUCACACCAUGAGAGUUGGAGAUACCCGAAGCCUAUGAGCUAACUUUUAGAGGCAGUAGUCGAAGGUAGAAUCAAUGAUUGGGGUGAAGUCGUAACAAGGUACC
This 156-nucleotide ribosomal RNA is filed under the name uncultured bacterium. RNAcentral describes it as "partial 16S ribosomal RNA". It matches the Rfam family "Bacterial small subunit ribosomal RNA", at positions 1344 to 1500 of the family's 1533-position model. The record is from RNAcentral.